Non-coding RNA from Podarcis muralis (Common wall lizard), 8042 nucleotides. Lineage: Eukaryota; Metazoa; Chordata; Lepidosauria; Squamata; Lacertidae. The record is from RefSeq and is a predicted model, not a curated record.
AAAACGAAAUCGCGGCCCACUGCGCAGGCGAGCAACGGCAGCUCUGAGCAGCGGCCUUGGAGCGCAUGCGUAGGUACUGAACGGACCCCGUAGGAGGCUACUGCGCACGCGGGAGGGGAAAUAAACAAAGUAGCGGGGUGAAGGCGCAAGCGCAGAGCGUAGCCACGGGGGGGGUUGUUUGAUUAAACGCUGCGCAAGGGGCGGAGUCUUGCGUAGGCGCACGAAAGCGGUCGGCUUCUCAACCGCCGACUUUCCGCCUCGUUGCACAUCUGUGGAGGAGGAGGAGCUUGUGGUCCGCUGCCUUGAGGUUUGACCUACUUUUCUAGGCUGGGGCCUCCGUAGACCUGAGGGGUAGCUAACUGGGCGCGCCUCAGAGCACGCUUCUCACCUCUGGGGAGAGGCCGGCUGCAGAAAUAGCGAACCAAGGCGGACUUGGAGCGCGGUCACCUGGCUUCAAAUUCCCGCUCAGGCACGAAGCUCACUCGGUGACAUUCCUAGUCACUCUCGCAGCCUAGCCUACCUCACAGGGUUGUUCUGGCGGCUCCCCCCCCCCCAGUGUGUGUGAGGCUUUGAGUUGUCCAAACUCCUUGGCUAAAAAGCUGGAUAAAAAUGAAGUAAAUAACGAACAGGGAAAGGGCUGCAAGCUCAUUGGCAGAGUACACGGUUUGUAGGCAUAUCGUUCCAUUUCUGACACCGACAGGCUGGGCUGGGAAAGGCGUCUGUUUGAAACCCUGUAGAACCCUAACCCCUCUUAAAAGGAAGUGGACCAGUGGACUCCUGGGUUGCUCCUGGAAAAGUCCUGCCCGUUUCCAGUGGGUGAACAAUAAUCUCCAGUGUCGGUAGAUGUGCUUGACUGACGUAUUCCCUUGGUUACCCUGUUUCGCUUUUGAAAAAAUGCCACCUCUCUGGCAGAGCAGGGUGCACCCGAUGCAGGUGAAGCCAGGACAGAGUCUGGUGAGUGAGAGGACAAGAUGGGUGAGGGGAGGAGCCAGGACAGAAUCUGGCAUGUUUUGGACCGAGCUGGUCUUUUGCUAGCUUUUCAGGGUUGCUUACUUGGCAAGAGUACAGCUUUAUAUUUGGACUAGUAACAGUGGUCUGUUGACAAACCUUACUGAGGAAAGAUUGCUGCUUUCCUGUACAAUUGUCAUUGCUUUAUUUGCAUAUGUAACACUUUUACGUUGCCCAACACUAAGUGCUAAUAGUGAAAGGAUAAUACAAAAUCUAGUUUCUUUUUUGAGGAGCAGACACAUAAAAAUUAUCUUAGCGGGGAAAAGUUUAGGUCCCACAUUUUUGCUGUGCCUGCUCUGGUGCCGUUCGGUGAUAAUACAGAAAUUGUACAGGCAAAGCAUUGUUUCUAGGAAAGCUUUACCUACUAAAUUUCCAUGUAGCAGGCUUCUUUUAAUUUUUAGUCAUUUAAAAAAAUUGAAUUGACUACAAAUACUUAGGAUGGUCUAGAAUUUCAUAGGGGUGUGAUUUAAAAUCUAUUUUGCUGUUGCUUUAUUUUAUGUCUGCUUGGCUUUAACAUUUUCAUAUUGUUAAAUAAUAAAUACUUGCAUCCUGUUUGCUUUUUUCUAUGUAUCAUUGUAGGCUUCAGAUAGGGUUGAUCGUAAUCUGAUGUGUAGAAACAAGCAACUUCAUCAAAAGAUCAAAAGUUUCUGUGAUGCUGACCAGAAGCAAGUUUGCUGCACUUUUGAAGGAAGACUUCAGAUCCCAUUUGCAAUGAAGAGUCUGAAUACUUCAUAUUGACACAGAGAUGAACCACAGCAGAUGUUUCAGUAGUAGUUGCACAUAUGAAGGUACAGCCCCUGCUAGCCUUAACAGUAAUAUCAAGAGUAAAAGGGAGGCACACACAACCCAUUUGAAUGCAGUACCCAGCACUUCCCUGUGAAGAUAUGUGGGAAAGCAAACAGCAGCAGAGGCUGUGGUGUUUGUGCAUAGCCAUUGUGGUUGCAUUUUAUUGUCAUACUUGAUCUUUAUUAUUAUACAAAAUAUACAGAGUUGAAAAUGCAAAGCUGAUAGCAGAGCUCAAUGUGCCCCACUAGUGCAGUGGGAAUGGGCCAUCUGGCCCUGAUUUAGUGAUUGUAGUGAGAGCACAGGUAGAAAUAUGCAGCUGGCGUAUAGGUGAGGAGUGGAGCAGUGGCCCCACCCACAUAGGGAUUGCCAUCAGGUUAGGAGUAUCAACAGACAGGAUGAAGAUGUUUCAAACAAAAGAACAAUCUGCAAGGAGAUGAGUGAUGGGUCAGGAUAUGGGCUUUGCAAAAUCAGAGAAUGAUUCUAAAUAGAACCAAUGUAACGCUGAAUGAAAAGGUCAUGUCCUCCUACUUUAUGUUCAUUAUUUUAGAAUAACCUGGUUUCUGUAAUGCUCUUAAUUAGAUUGAAAUCCCCACUUUACCCAUAAACAUGCAUUAAAAGAGUGAUGGUGGGUAAAUUCACCAUCUUCUCUCUCUGACCACCCUUACUACAAAUGUGACAGUUUAGUUAAAGGGUGUCAGAAGGACAAAUUCUCUGUAUUAAAUGGAUGUUGAGUAUGCAGCCUAAGACAUACUUUUCAAAUGCAAAAUCCCCUGCAAUAGUGAAGUACUUUGUCAGAAAGGGAAUAAAAGCCCUUUUUAAAGGUGAGUAUAUCUGGGCUGGUGGAAGAUCACUGUGUAUGGGGAAGUAAUCUAUGUGGUGUUUCUUUACUCUCAACUCCCCACCAUAGUUUCUAAUGGAGCUAUGGCUGUAUCUGAUAACAGACACAGUGAAAAGUGGGAAAGGCUAUCAAUAUUUCACGGGAGUGGGCCACAGCUGCAUUUUGAAGACUAAUCUUGAAUGCAGCUAUCUCUGGAAGCAAGGAAUUCUGCCUAAACCUGGAAAAGACAGACCGUAUCAGGCUGGAUGGACCAUUGGCCUAACACGGUAUAAAGCACCUCCUUUUAUAAUUUACUUGGGCUCACCAGCACCCAUCUUUAUUUGGUAGCUGACAGUAUGAGGAAAUAUGCUCUUGGCCCUUCUUGAAAAUGCAGCCCCAGAAGCCAGCCUGUAGCUGAGAGCAGGAUAGUCUUGAGUCUGGACUAAUUGUAAUUCCCAGUUCUGAUUACAGCACUUUCCACCCUGACUUGCUUGUAACCAGGAAGGCAUUUGAAUUGUCACCUCUGUUCUUGAAGAACAACUCUGGGUUCUUAGUAAAGUGAGACAAUCACUUCUGCUAGAGUGUUCCAGCAUAAAGACCCAUCAGGAAAAGCACAGGGCUACUUUAGACACACUUGGAAGUGGCAGUGUUAUAAGGGUAGUGCUAACUUUGCAUACCAGCCAGGUACUUGUUCAUCUUUGAUGAGGGUAGUUCCCUCAGCAGUGGCCAGCUGUCAGCCAUGUGGCUUGCAUCCCAUCCACAGCUAACAGAGCCAGUUUAAAUAUCAUGGCUGCUUCAUGCAGUGACCGUAAAGUGUGGAUUUCCCCGGAUGUGUGUGAAGUUUCUACAUCACCACAAGAUAUUCCUAGCAAUGGCAGCAUGGGAAUUUUCUGUACAAGGGAAAGUGAUCUACCAUACACAUUAUGGCCAUAUCAAUGAUUUCAGGAUGGCAAUUAGAACAUGCUCUGGUGUCAGACAUACACAUAUACCACAGUAGGCAACUUUUAUACUGGAAGCUGCCCUGUGAGCAAUUGCAGGGUAGCAGAGCACUACUAUACUAUUCUGACUGGUUAUGAAUAGCCACGGAGGGUAGUUUGGGUGUGACUCUUCUCUUCCCCUCCUCCCCCCUCCAACUUCUCCUAUAGGCCUUAAGGGGUAAGAAACACUAGUGUAAACCCUUAAGUUUGAGAUAAGCCAGAUAGGAUGGUACUGGUGAGGAAUGAGGAUGGGAGAGAUGCAGGAGAAAGGAAACUGUUGUGUUGUGCACAGAAUCAGGCUUUCUUGGAUGGAAGAUGGGAGUGCAAGAUGGUAGGAGGAUGUUUGUGAUUAGAAAUUGUUUCAUUGAAGAGAAUGCAUGUGUGGAAGGGACAGGCUUGGGGAGGGUUAUACAGGGAUGGGAUUGUUAAAAUCAUUUUGAGGCAUGGGGAGGAGAAACUAAGCCAAGGUAAAUGAACUUUAAAAACAUAGUGUGGUUAUGGGUCCAGGCAUUGUACAAAUUUAAAUAAAAGUAACCACCAUGUAGAUGCCAAACUGUUCCCAAUCUCUAAGAUCUGAUCCUUAGCAGAAAACACAUCUGAACUACACAAAGAGGGACCCUUAAGCGCUGGCAUGAUGGGUUGGCAAGAACUGAAAUGGCAGCCUCAGGAAGGAGAAGAGCCAAAGCUGGGCUCCAGUGCACAUGGAAGUCUGUUUGCAUAGCUAAAAAUCCUGAGUUGGCCAGUUCCAAUUCCUGUCCUUCACACACUCUUGAAUGAUACAUUCCACUUUCAGACCACAGAACAAAGAAACUCAUUUCUGUGGGUCUUUGAAUCUUGCUCUAGACUGCCAAGUGCCUAAGUGCUUACUCAAGAUUGCAACUGUAGUCUGAGAUGGGAGCUAAAGUAUAGGGUUGGUUGUUAGGGUGCAGGAACAAUAACUGAGAUGAGCCUGAGCGGAGUUAAGUGCUGGGAUAAAACUAGGGCUGUGGGUAAGAUAUUAAGAACAUUGGUAGAACUAGCUUGUGUACUGAAGAGGAUGCUAGGCAGGGCCAGGAUAGAGGGUGCUCAUCUCUGCCAUCUAGAUAUUGCCUGCUGUUGAGUACCUCAGCCUCUGGCUCGCUAACUCUUCCCUCACUUUUCUGCCUUCGUUGGGAUACAGUACCUGUUUGUGUGGCCAAAAAACCCCCAAACCUAUUCAGUAUCAUCCUUGUCUCUUUCCUAUACUUUGCCUUAAUCUGAGUGGUCUUGUCAUACUAGAAUCAGCUUCAAGAUUCUAGCUCUUUUUAAGCCCUUAAUAUCUCUGUUACAGGAAGUUUCUCUUUCUUUGUCUUUGUUUAUUUUCCAUGUUGGCCUCUGCAGUUUGCACAAUUCCUCUUUCAUCAGUUUUCGUCUCCUAUAUUGCCAUGCCACUCUUUCCUCCAUGCAUCAAACAGCUUAUUCCAAUUUGAGCCCUUCCACAAGACCUACAUUUUCAGCUUCUCUGGCUAGUCCACUCCCGCUGCUCAUUAUGAAUCUCUGACCCAUUACAGUAUCCUUGUCCUGGCCAGCUAGUGUGAUCUGUAAGCCCUCUACAUAGGUACAGUGUUGCCGUUGUGCUCUGUUCAGAACCUGGCACUCUGUUGGAGAUUCAUAAACACUCUGAAGAUGCUGGUUGCCCAUACUGUUUCUGCUUCUGAAUGACCCAAGGGCUUAUUUGUAAUAAAACAUGAAAAGCGGGUAAGCAUCACAGAGAGAUGAGCAGCAGCUAAAGAGAUAGUUGGCACAGGGAAGAAACAGCAAAGCUCUCCCCACCCUCUAAUGUGAUUCCUAGGAUUUUCUUUUAUCUACUCUCACACAUGCCCUCUUCCAUUCACCAUGAUCACUGUAAGUCAAGGAGCUAUGUCGUGUUUUUAUCUUUCAGUGAAUUUAGUUCAAGGACAAAACAUACCCUUGUUGAUGCCAGACUGUCACCCGUAAACCUUAGCUGAACCCUGAGUUUCUUCUCACUGAAGGAUGUCUGAGCUCUUGACACCUACUUUCUGUAUGGCCGUCAGUUGUUGGAGCUGCGUACCAGAUAGUAUUAUCAUUAUCUCAGGCCACAUAGAGACCCUGCCCAGUGAGACCACAGAGAUUCCAUCCUCACUUAAAUGUUUCUAGUGAUAUGUCCUCACCACUUCUACCCCUGUUUUCAUGACAGUUUAUGGGGGGGGGGAAUGCAAGGAAAAGCUCUGAUCAAGCUUAGUGUACUUUCUUGCCAUGGGAAUCCAAGCAUAAUUCACCCCUCCUCCUGAUCUGUAAAUGAAAGCUAAAGGUUGUGUUGUACCUGCCUCUUGUGAGUGGCACACAGUUUUCAUUCCCUGUUGAGGAUGCAAAGAAAAGAAACCACAAAGCAAAAUCCCACUCACUCUCUAUUUCUUUGCCUCAGCUCUCCCCCAGAGUUUAGUGCCAGGAUUGCAAGUUACCUUGGCACUGGGAAAUUUAUCCCCCAAUUGGAAGCCUCAGGGUAUUGCAGUGAGAGCCUUGGUGUAAAUUAGAUGGAGUCCACUCCUUAUAGGCAGUGGGUAAGAUUGCACACACACAAAAUCCUUUGAAAGUCCUUGGCAAUCACCUGUUGCACUGCCGUUUGGUGGUGUGAAACCUGCUUGGAACCCCAGUGAAGGGUUGGGGGUUGCUGUGAUUUGGAAGGCCCUAAAGGGUGGGCAUACUACUUGGUGACAGGGCAGUGCAGCUUCCAAGGGGAGGCAGCAGAUUGAUCCGGGUUUUUUUUUCUUUUCAAUGCCCAGAGGAAGUGCUUGUGGAUGUCAGGCUGUUCCCCCUGCUGGGCCUUGGUCCAACCCAGCCAAAGGCUCCCUCCCACCCCCAUGGUUCCCAUUGCAGGGACUUUCCCCCAGUUGCAUCUCGAAUACAUGGUCUCCAGAAAUGUCUCCCAGUCCAGCAUGGACAAGGGGCUGCUUUGUCCAUACAGGCAAGAGAAGAAUGCCUCAGAGGGAUACACCAAGAAGAGAAGCCCCAGGAGUGUGUGUGAAGGUCUGGGCUCCAGUAGUGGCCCACUAGAUCACAUUGUCAAAGAGCUUCAUGGAACUCAUGAUGUUUUCAUCCUGCCAAAGAAAAGAGGACAAAUUAGAAUAAUUAAGAAGUCCUAGAACUAAUUAUCAGCUUUGACUCCCUCCGCCCCCGCAAAACAUAUAGGGGGUGUAAAGGACCUUUUCAACCCCCACCCCCUUUUUAUGCAUGGCAGAAAAAUAGCAGUGGUCUGUACCCACUGACAGUAAUGUAAUAUCCCCACCCUUCUCUAACAGGGGUAUGCUACCUUCUGGCAGGACUCAAUGAAUUCCUCAAUAGUCACCACUCCAUCCUUGUUCCGAUCCAUUUUCUGAAAUGCAAGAACCAGGGAUAUGAGAAUUAAAGGCAAAGUAACAUCUGUUUCCUAGGAGCAGCUUCAGGCACACUACAACACCCACAGCCAGGAAGGACAUUCUUGAGGCAGACCUGGUCAGGGAACCUGUCAGCUUCUAGGUAGCUUCAAAGGCAUUUCUGGCAGAGAAUGGCCCCCUACCUCACUAAUGACAUCUUGCAAGCAUCCAAGGAAACAGCAGUGGGCUGGUGCUGCAAACAGGUCCACUACUAUGAUCAUAGCAGUAAGAGAUGGGAGAUGCUGCCUCUACUGGAAAGAGGAAGGAAGAGUGCCCAUUGGGAAAGCUUAAAGUUCUGACAAAACCCUGUGUUGAGUUUUCUACUCUGUGUUGACUCUGUACCCAAAUGCACACAUUUGCAUUCCAAAUGUGUUGAACUACAACUCCCAUUAUCCCUGGCCAUUGGUUACGCUGGGCAGGUAUGGUGGGAGUUGGAAUCCAAAACGUCUGGAGGGUGCCAAGAUGGAAAGGCUUUUCUAGGAAGAGGGCAAACCCAAAUAUCUUGACUAAAAUAACCCACUCGCUCAACUACCAGGGAUGGGAAGGUUUUGUAGAACUACAGGAUACUGACAUGGAGUAGUAAUUGUGGUUUACUCAGAGUAGACCCAUUGAAACGAAUGGUCCUUAGUUAUGUUCAUUAAUUUCACUGGGUCUUCUUCACCCAUGGAAAUGUCCUGACUCAAGGCUCACCUGGAAAAAGCUUUCCACAUGCUCCUGAGGUGCUUCUUCUCGCAUGGCUGGGUAAGUGUAUUUGCCCAUCAUGUCAUAAAUGGAUUUCAUUAUGUCCAGCAUUUCCUGCAAGACAAGAGCACAAAAAGAAUGGCCAGCAGAAAUCAGAUCUUGAUUGUGGGCUGAGGGAGAUUCAUAAGAAAGUGGACAACAAGCAGGAGAGCCCAGUAUCUACCAUUGGUACCAUUGACUCCAUCUCCCUCUAUAUGUACCUCUUUGGUGAUACAGCCAUCUUUGUUCAGGUCAUAGAGGUUGAAGGCCCAGUUGAGCCGAUCAUCUAUAGUACCACGUAGAAUAAUAGAUAAGCCAGCCACAAAAUCCUGCAGGGGAAUG